RNAcentral lists this transfer RNA (73 nucleotides) under Camelus ferus (Wild Bactrian camel). It matches the Rfam family "tRNA". From Rfam's summary of the family: Transfer RNA (tRNA) molecules are approximately 80 nucleotides in length. Their secondary structure includes four short double-helical elements and three loops (D, anti-codon, and T loops). The record is from Rfam by way of RNAcentral. Lineage: Eukaryota; Metazoa; Chordata; Mammalia; Artiodactyla; Camelidae.
GAGGGUGUAGCUCAGUGGUAGAGUAUGUGCUUUAGCAUGCAUGAGGUCCUGGGUUCGGUCCCCAGUACCUCCA